Molecule: long non-coding RNA, 277 nt
Organism: Schistocerca nitens (vagrant locust)
Lineage: Eukaryota; Metazoa; Arthropoda; Insecta; Orthoptera; Acrididae
Exons: 3
Source: RefSeq, a predicted model, not a curated record
GUUACAUCUGUCCACACAGAAAAUUGCAUCUCAACAAACCUGUCAUUGGUACCUGAACUACAUUUCAGUCACUCAGUAAAGUGAUAAUUCAAAAUAUCAUUGUCAACAGAUCUGAAGAAAUUGCCAGUCUUUAGACCGUUUUCGUCAGACGAGAGACGCAGUUCUGACUGAUUACUGGUUGCUGUACAUAUCUAUCCACAUCAAGACUGUUGAGAGAGACUCGUGAAGAUUCAAGACAGCUCUUAGAGGAUUUGCAGUUUAAAAGUGAAAUAAUUAU